Molecule: transfer RNA, 68 nt
Filed under: Schistocerca gregaria flaviventris
Lineage: Eukaryota; Metazoa; Arthropoda; Insecta; Orthoptera; Acrididae
Description: tRNA-Asp
Source: RNAcentral
AAGGAAUUAGUUAAAAUAAAUAACAUUAGAGUGUCAAUCUAAAGUAACUAAAAAAUUAGUACACCUUG